Monodelphis domestica (gray short-tailed opossum) is the source of this 986-nucleotide long non-coding RNA. RefSeq lists it as uncharacterized. Lineage: Eukaryota; Metazoa; Chordata; Mammalia; Didelphimorphia; Didelphidae. The record is from RefSeq and is a predicted model, not a curated record.
CUCUCUCUCUCUCUCUUGCUUAGAAUGAGAGGGGUAGGGAUAUAUUAGGAAAUGAGGAUGACACAAAAACCAAAACAAAAUUCUUUUUCUUUUUCAUCAAAGAAAGAGGAGCGAUUGAGAGUGGAGUUGGGAGCUGAAAAGGAGAAGUCAUUCAGCACAAUCCAUUAAGGCUGGGGAUAGUCAGAAAUAGCAUGAAAGGAUGGCUACAAUGCAAUGAAGACUCAGCCCAGUUAGAUAAGAAGAAUUCUUGUUGGAUCCAGUCUGCCGGGUUUCCUGGCCCCCUUUAGUGGCUGCUGGGGAAGAGGAGGGGAGGAGGCAGAUGCUGAGAGUUUCCAAGAGCUGAGAACUAGCAGGCUAUAAACAAAGGAAGGCCAAGGGGCCAAAGGACUCAGGGUCAGUGUGUUGUUGACCUGGUUAACUUUGAGCUAAGGCUCUAAAAGGGAGGGCGGCCGGGGGGGGGGGGGGGUGAUGCAGGGACUAGAGCAGAGGUUCUUAGCCUGAGGUCCAUGAACCCUCAAGGGAUCUGGGGGCAGAUUUCAGAAAGUCUAUGAACUUGGAUAGGGGGAAAACCCCACAUCUGCCUUUCCACUAGCCUCUAACUGAAAUAUACUAUUUCCUUCCGUUAUGAUUUUAAAAUAUAGCAUUUCCUCCCAUUUUGCCUUUUUAAACCAUGUUCCCGAGUCCAUAGGCUUUAGCAGGCUGCCAGAGAGAUCCAUGAUACAAGAAAGCGUGAGGACUCCUGAGCCAGAUGCCAGAGGGAAAAGGAAAGAGACUGGAAAGAGAUGGGCGCCCGUGAUGAGGAGGGCAGAAUUCCUGGAUACCCUAUGAUGGAGAGAAGGGUUUCAAGGAGUCCUAGAGACCUGGAGAAGAGAGCUGUUGAACGGCCAGAAACGGUGAUGCUCUGGUCAGUGGACAGAUGGACCUGGCGUCUUUCCCAGCUCUAAAACCCUCUCUUGUGUGUUCUAAGAUUCCAGGCUGACACUCUA